RNAcentral lists this ribosomal RNA (514 nucleotides) under uncultured archaeon. RNAcentral describes it as "bacterial SSU rRNA". It matches the Rfam family "Archaeal small subunit ribosomal RNA", at positions 341 to 856 of the family's 1478-position model. The record is from RNAcentral.
GAGUAAAUUUUCCAAUGUCCGCAAGGAUGAGAAAGGAAUCCGAAGUGCUGAUAUUUUUAUAUUAGCUUUUAUCCACUGUAAAAAGGUGGAAGAAUAAGGACUGGGCAAGACUGGUGCCAGCCGCCGCGGUAAUCCCAGCAGUCCGAGUCGUGGCCACAUUUAUUAGGUCUAAAACAUUCGUAGCUUGCUUUACAAGUUCCUUGUGAAAUGCUAUCGCUUAACGGUAGCGCGUGCAAAGAAUACUGUAUCGCUAGAGACUGGUAGACGUAAGGAGUACGAUUGAGGUAGCGGUAAAAUGUUUUAAUCUCAACCGGACUAACAAUGGCGAAGGCACCUUACGAGGACAGAUCUGACAGUGAGGAAUGAAGGCUAGGGGCGCAAAAUGGAUUAGAUACCCAUGUAGUCCUGGCAGUAAACCCUGAUUACUAAACAUUGUGUUCUCUUCGAGAGAAUGCAGUGCUGAAGCGAAAGCGGAAGUAAUCUACCUGGGGAGUAUAGCCGCAAGGCCGAAACU